UCCUACGGGAGGUAGCAGUGGGGAAUUUUGGACAAUGGGGGCAAGCCUGAUCCAGCCAUGCCGCGUGAGUGAAGAAGGCCUUCGGGUUGUAAAGCGUAUCGGCCGGUAAGGGAAGGUUAAUCUAAACCGGAGAAAUGAACGGACCUGAUAAGAGGCCCCUUCCCCUA
Molecule: ribosomal RNA, 167 nt
Filed under: uncultured bacterium
Lineage: Bacteria
Description: partial 16S ribosomal RNA
Rfam family: Bacterial small subunit ribosomal RNA
Source: RNAcentral